UGAUCCUGGCUCAGAACGAACGCUGGCGGCGUGCUUAACACAUGCAAGUCGAACGAGAAAUUACCUUCGGGUAAUGGACAGUGGCAGACGGGUGAGUAACGCGUGGCAACCUACCUUUCAGUAAGGGACAACAGUUGGAAACGACUGCUAAUACCUUAUACGUCCUCCGGGAGAAAGAUUUAUCGCUGAUAGAUGGGGCCGCGUUAGAUUAGCUUGUUGGUGAGGUAAUGGCUCACCAAGGCGACGAUCUAUAGCGGGUCUGAGAGGAUGAUCCGCCACACUGGGACUGAGACACGGCCCAGACUCCUACGGGAGGCAGCAGUGGGGAAUAUUGGACAAUGGGGGCAACCCUGAUCCAGCAACGCCGCGUGAAUGAUGAAGGCCUUAGGGUUGUAAAAUUCUUUCGCUAGGGAAGAUAAUGACUGUACCUAGUAAAGAAGCCCCGGCUAACUCCGUGCCAGCAGCCGCGGUAAUACGGAGGGGGCUAGCGUUGUUCGGAAUUACUGGGCGUAAAGCGUGCGUAGGCGGAUUAAUAAGUUAGAUGUGAAAUCCCAGGGCUCAACCCUGGAACUGCAUUUAAAACUGUUAGUCUUGAGUUCUGGAGAGGUAAGUGGAAUUCCUAGUGUAGAGGUGAAAUUCGUAGAUAUUAGGAGGAACACCAGAGGCGAAGGCGGCUUACUGGACAGAUACUGACGCUGAGGCACGAAAGUGUGGGGAGCAAACAGGAUUAGAUACCCUGGUAGU
RNAcentral lists this ribosomal RNA (744 nucleotides) under uncultured marine bacterium. RNAcentral describes it as "bacterial SSU rRNA". It matches the Rfam family "Bacterial small subunit ribosomal RNA", at positions 14 to 794 of the family's 1533-position model. The record is from RNAcentral.